AUACGGAGGAUGCGAGCGUUAUCCGGAUUUAUUGGGUUUAAAGGGUGCGUAGGCUGUGCGUUAAGUCAGGGGUGAAAUGCCGUCGCUCAACGACGGAGCUGCCCUUGAUACUGGCGUGCUGGAGUACGGAUGCCGUUGGAGGAAUGAGGGGUGUAGCGGUGAAAUGCUUAGAUAUCACUCAGAACACCGAUUGCGAAGGCAUCGGACGAAUCCGUAACUGGCGUUGAUGCACGAAAGCUUGGGGAUAGAACAGGAUUAGAUGCCCUGGUAUUCCACGCGGUAAACGAUGAUGACUAACCGUCGGCGAUAGACAGCCGGUGGCCAAGCGAAAGCGAUAAGUAAUCCACCUGGGGAGUACGUCGGCAACGAUGAAACUCUAAUGAAUUGACGGGG
This 393-nucleotide ribosomal RNA is filed under the name uncultured bacterium. Its description in RNAcentral is "partial 16S ribosomal RNA". It matches the Rfam family "Bacterial small subunit ribosomal RNA", at positions 523 to 918 of the family's 1533-position model. The record is from RNAcentral.